RNAcentral lists this long non-coding RNA (1438 nucleotides) under Mytilus galloprovincialis (Mediterranean mussel). Lineage: Eukaryota; Metazoa; Mollusca; Bivalvia; Mytilida; Mytilidae. The record is from RNAcentral.
GCUCAUCAUUUUUCAGGUUUAGUGUUCUCCAUCCAACAUAACCAAACUAUUAAAUUAAGACAUUUACUACUUGGGAAACACACAAUAUUUUAUAACUGGCUUUAUUUAAAACACAACUACAUUAAAUCCUGUAUUUAACUCCUGUGCCGGUUUAACCUACCACUAAGUACUUUUAACAACAAGGCACUAACCAUUUAUCUUCAAUUGACUUAUGGUAUGGGGUAAAAUCUUUUGGUAGUUAAACUCAUACUUUAGCCUUGGAAAAAUUCUUUUAUUCCUAAGUUAUAAUGGGCUUCAAACUAGCUCUGGAUUUAUAUAUAUACUUUUUCAGUGGUGUUAUGUGUCUUUUGUCCUAUUAGUUGUAAUUUUGUUUCAGUCCUGUUAUGAACUGGUUUAUAUUGGUCUUUUAAAAUUUGUUUUGACACAACUGUCCUGUGUUAUGAUAGGGUGAAGUGCUCACGAAUAAUAAUUAUACCAACUUCUAUAUGUUCCUUUUUUAGUUGACUUUAAGAUAUGGAUUUUGCUUAUUGGUACCAGCGGAACAUUACUUGUUUUAAUUCUGCAGCUGAAGGACUAUUAUGGAAAGUUAUCCUUAUUUUAUUGCAAAUUACAUGUACUUUAUGCUGUCUUAUUACAUGACUUAUUUACAAAGGGAACAGUUAAAUGUUUACUACUGUGAAAGACACUUUAUAUUUGGAUGAGAUUCUUUUUUUUUUUUUUUUUUAUAAAUUACCACCCCUAUUUCCUUCAAUUACACCACUGCAGACAACAGAUAUAUGGUUAGUGCUUUGGUCAUGUUAAAAUAUUUAUGUUUGCAUUUUUCCAACAUUCAGGUCAUUGCCAUAUACAUGUAUCAACCAAGCACUUCAAUUUGCAUCACAAAACUAUUUAAAUUCAUUUAAUCUUAAAACCCACCUUAACCUCCCCAGUUUUCAGUGACGGGUAAGCAUUUGUCUUGUAAGUAAUCACCCUACAGCUCUUACUUUAUUUUAGAUAAUCAAAAUAGCUUGUCAGAAGUAUAAUUAUACAUGUAAAUAAAUUGAAGAAUACUAACAGCUUGACAUACUGUAUAUAAUACAUGUCUUUCCUGGAAAGCUAUCUGUAUGCACUGACUCUAUAUAUAUUUUUGUCUUUGGUUUGCUGUCUCAUAUCUUUUUACCCCACAUCUCCUGUUAAUUAAUUCACACAUAGAAAGGUAGAUUGGUCAUAAUGAACAUCAAUAAAAGGGUAGAAUUCAGGUGCUGAAAAGAUGUAAUCAGACCAUGUUUCAAUAUUCAUUAUAUCUACCUCAAUUUGGCUCAAACAUGACAAUGCAUGACAUGAAGGAUAAAAGUUAAAAUCAUUUAAGUGGUAUAUGUUAUUGAGAUAUCAACCAAACAUCACAAUAUGAGGCACUGUUAUAAGUAAACUUUGUCUAUUUGAACGCUUCCAGUUUUUC